This 483-nucleotide ribosomal RNA is filed under the name uncultured bacterium. Its description in RNAcentral is "partial 16S ribosomal RNA". It matches the Rfam family "Bacterial small subunit ribosomal RNA", at positions 30 to 506 of the family's 1533-position model. The record is from RNAcentral.
AUUGAACGCUGGCGGCAGGCCUAACACAUGCAAGUCGAGCGGAUGAAGGGAGCUUGCUCCUGGAUUCAGCGGCGGACGGGUGAGUAAUGCCUAGGAAUCUGCCUGGUAGUGGGGGAUAACGUCCGGAAACGGGCGCUAAUUCCGCAUACGUCCUGAGGGAGAAAGUGGGGGAUCUUCGGACCUCACGCUAUCAGAUGAGCCUAGGUCGGAUUAGCUAGUUGGUGGGGUAAAGGCCUACCAAGGCGACGAUCCGUAACUGGUCUGAGAGGAUGAUCAGUCACACUGGAACUGAGACACGGUCCAGACUCCUACGGGAGGCAGCAGUGGGGAAUAUUGGACAAUGGGCGAAAGCCUGAUCCAGCCAUGCCGCGUGUGUGAAGAAGGUCUUCGGAUUGUAAAGCACUUUAAGUUGGGAGGAAGGGCAGUAAGUUAAUACCUUGCUGUUUUGACGUUACCAACAGAAUAAGCACCGGCGAACUUCGU